Molecule: long non-coding RNA, 10334 nt
Filed under: Cucumis sativus (cucumber)
Lineage: Eukaryota; Viridiplantae; Streptophyta; Magnoliopsida; Cucurbitales; Cucurbitaceae
Description: long non-coding RNA (CSAT_LNC001375)
Source: RNAcentral
CAGCUGAAGCCAUCGAUAUUCUUAAACUCAUGUCUUCCACAUUCUUAGUUGCUUUAUGUCAAGCAAUUGACUUGAGGCAUUUGGAGGAAAACUUGAAGAGCGUGGUGAAAAGCACAGUUAGCCAAGUAGCAAAAAAAGUGUUGACUACCUCUUCCAAUGGCGCACUUCAUCCAUCAAGAUUUUGUGAGAAAGAUUUACUCAAAGUUGUUGACAGAGAAUACACUUUUGCAUACAUAGAUGAUCCAUGCAGUGCUACCUACCCUCUUAUGCAGAAGUUAAGGCAAAUUCUUGUCGAGCAUGCACUUAAAAAUGGUGAUAGCGAAACGAACGAAAACACCUCAAUCUUCCAAAAGAUUGGUGCUUUCGAAGAGGAGUUGAAGGCAAUCUUACCAAAGGAGGUAGAAAACGUAAGGUUGGCAUAUGAGAAUGGAAAUUCCGAAAUUGAAAAUCAAAUCAAGGAUUGCAGGUCUUACCCAUUAUACAAAUUUGUGAGAGAGGAGUUGGGAACAAGAUUGCUAACCGGCGAAAAGGUAAUUUCUCCAGGAGAAGAGUGCGAGAAGGUAUUCACUGCUUUAAGUCAAGGAAAGAUGAUCGAUUCGAUCUUCGAAUGCUUGAAGGAGUGGAAUGGAGCACCCCUUCCUAUUUGCUAAUAGCUUAUAAUAAUUCUUAUGCUAUUCGUUUAGUUGGACGAUGCAUUUCUCAAAUUAUUGAAAGAUAUAUGAUUACAUUUUGUAUUGGCUAUUGUUUUUCAUUCACAUUUUAAAUCAAUUUUAAACACAAUUGAUAUCCACAUGUAACUUUUAUUUUUUGAAUAAUCACCAUAUACAUUAUAUUUUGACAUAAUUUAUGAGUAUUGCACAAAAUUAUUAUGGAAUGGAAGUGUAUUAGUAAGACUUCGUGCACUUAAUACUAUAUAAUGCCUCAGUGAUAUUAUAUAUAUUUUGGUAAUGUAUAUCAGUAAGGUAAUUAAAAAAUGGCAAGCAGUAUAAAUUAAUCUAUCCUCCAGUUGUAUUAAUUAAAACCUAUUUUGAUAAUUUAUAUCGAGUUAUAAUUGAUUUAAUUGCGACACACCUUUCUCUAAAUCUUGCUUUACUUCUCAAUUUUCAUAGUCAAUCGAGUUAGACUCUCUUUAUACAAUAAUACCUUUGAAUACCGUUCACAUGCAUUAAUUGUCAAACACAUGUAUACUUUUUUCAUAUGUUGAUUUUACAAAAAAUAAAGGAUUAUUAGAGGCUACACGGUUGAUUAACUUUAAGGAUUUAAUUAAUAUAAUUAUAUAAAUCAUUUUACAUAUAUAAGAUUUAUCUUCAAACGAAACAAGAAGGUAAAAUGAUAUAGUUACGAAAGUUCGAAAAUACAAUUAUUAGUUCAUCAAAUUGAUAAUACUUUUAACUUUUUUUCUUUACUACAACUCCUAUAAGGUUUAGAAAAUAUAAAUUGAUAUUUUCUUCAAAAACAAAUAUAUACAAAUUUGUCUUAGCAUAUCUAUCGAUAACAUACUUACUAAUGUAAUAAUUUGGAUAGACAAAUAACAUUUUACUAUAUUUUAAAACAUUUUCAACAGUUUUAUCAUUUUAAAGUCAUUCUUACGUUUAAUAAUUUUCAUAGUAUCGGUUUGACAGUUAUUUUUAAUUUUUCUCAAAUUUCAUUUUAUAUGACUUUUUUUUUGUUGUUAUAUGUAAAGAGGAAAAGUGUAGACACCCUUGAAGUUCAUUUAUUUUUAUUUUUAAACUAAAUAAUUUGGGACUCUUACGUAUAUAUAUUUAUAAUAUAUAUGUUAGUUGAGAUAGAAUCACUCUCUCAUUUUCUAAAAAUUUAGGGUUAGGUUAGUAAGAAAUCUCCAACUAACAUAUUAAGUUUAAUCAAAUUAUAUUAACAACAAAAGUAAAUGAGUCAAAAGGUUCACCAACCCCAUCUUUCACACUCUCAUAUCUAUAUUUGAAAGCAAUGAUAUAUAAAUGGAUGAAUUAAAGUUAUGUGAGUGUUCAACGAAGGUGUGCUCCAAUAUCAUAACUCCACAUUUAUAAUAUACUUAAUUCAUCCUUUUAUUUAACUAACAUAACAAUAAUUAUAUAUAUAUAUAUAUGCACCAUAUUGGACUUCCAAAUUCUUUAACUAAACAAGACAUAAUUUUCACAUCAAAUAAUAUCACACAUGGAAAUAACAUACUGUCAAAUAAACUAUAAAUAAAAGUUAUUACCAAGGCAAUUUGGGGUUGGAAUGCCUUCUUGACAUGAUUAAUCUUCUACAAACUUAAGUGCCUACUAGAAGUCUAUUAGCGACUAUCAAUGUCUAUUUUGCUAUAUUUAUAAUUUUUAAUCAAAUACUAGCUAUUUUAUGAUAUUUAAAAGUUAUAUAUUUAUUGUAUAUUUUGGCUUACUACCCAACUUCUUGUUUUCUAAAAUGUUGGAAGAAUUAUUUUAAGUCAUUGUUAUGAAUCUCUGACAUAGAUAUACCAUUGUAAAAUUGGUUUUCACAUGUUUGGUUCACAAUUAUUCAAAGCGAUUUGUAUAUAUUAAAAGGUGGUGGUGAAUUACUAUAUUUAAUUUGUGAUUUUAGAAUUACAUAUACAUCACUAAUUUGUUUUUUUAAAAAAGAAAAUCAGUACAUAGGUGAUGCAAAUUUUAAUUUUAAAGAAACAAAUUAAAAAGGUGGACUAUAAUUUUGUGGGUAAUUGAUUGCCUCAAUCACCCUAAUAAUAAAAGUACAUUUUAAUUAUGGAUCAAACAUAGUUCCAAAUUAUUUUUAGAUUUUUGUAAAAUGAUGUUAAUAUUUGUCAAACAUUAAAUCUUUAAAAACAAUUAUAAAGUCAUUUUAAUCAAAGAAGAAUGAGUAAUAUAUCAAUUAAACGUACCAAAUGCCACAGAAAAAAGAAAAAAAACUUGAGAGAAACUUUAUUCCUCUAUUCUAUAAUUUAAAAAAAAUCACAUGGAGUAAAAGAAAGUGAGAGGGAGGUGGCCAGCAAACGAAAAAAUAGUACUGGCGAUCAACUUUGACCAUAUAUAUAUAUAUAUAUAUAUACACAUAAAAUAGGAUUAUGAUUAUUCUUAUCAUUACUACUUUUGACCUUUCUUUUUCCACACCAAACAAACUCCCACCUCUCUCUUUCCUCAAUCCUUCCUAAGUCCUCUACCUAACACACACCUCUUCUCUAUUUAACCACAAAGCUUCUCAUUUUCUCUUCACAAAAUCAACUCAGCAACCAUUUCAAACCCAAUUCAAAUUUAUCCACUCUCAUUAUUCCUUACUCUCUGUGCAGUACACUCUUAAAUUAAAAUGGCCCAAAAGGUUAAUGCUAACCAAAAUGGUUCAAUGGAAAGCUUGUGCAGCAGCCAUCAGGAUCCACUCAACUGGGGUUUGGCCGCUGAUUCCAUGAAGGGAAGCCAUCUGGAUGAGGUCAAGCGGAUGGUGGAAGAGUAUCGAAGGCCUUUGGUUAAGCUUGGAGGACAAACUCUCACCAUUUCUCAGGUUGCUGCCAUUGCCACUCGUGAUAAUGAUGUCCUUGUAGAAUUGGCCGAGUCUGCAAGGGCCGGUGUCAAAGCUAGCAGCGAUUGGGUGAUGGAGAGCAUGGGUAAAGGCACUGAUAGUUAUGGUGUUACUACUGGCUUUGGUGCUACUUCCCAUAGAAGAACCAAUCAAGGUGGAGCUCUUCAAAAGGAGUUGAUUCGGUUUUUGAAUUCUGGCAUCUUUGGAAAUGGAAGUGAAUCAAAUCACACUUUGCCUCACUCUGCAACAAGAGCAGCUAUGUUGGUGAGAAUCAACACUCUUCUUCAAGGGUAUUCUGGCAUUCGAUUCGAGAUUUUGGAAGCCAUUACUAAUCUCUUGAACCACAACGUCACUCCAUGUUUGCCACUUAGAGGAACAAUUACUGCUUCGGGAGAUUUGGUUCCUUUGUCUUAUAUUGCAGGGUUGCUUACCGGUCGUCACAAUUCAAAAGCUAUUGGACCUAAUGGAGAAAUCCUUGAUGCAAAGGUUGCUUUUGAACAAGCUGGUAUUGAUUCUGGGUUCUUUGAGUUGCAGCCUAAGGAAGGUCUUGCUCUUGUUAAUGGCACUGCUGUCGGUUCUGGGUUGGCUUCCAUUGUUCUCUUUGAGGCAAAUAUUUUAGUUGUUUUGUCUGAAAUUUUAUCUGCAAUAUUUGCUGAGGUGAUGCAAGGAAAGCCUGAAUUCACCGAUCAUUUGACCCAUAAGUUGAAGCACCACCCUGGUCAAAUUGAAGCAGCUGCAAUCAUGGAGCACAUUUUAGAUGGAAGCUCCUACAUGAAAACGGCAAAGAAAUUACAUGAAAUGGAUCCUCUCCAAAAGCCCAAACAAGAUCGUUACGCUCUUAGAACUUCUCCUCAAUGGUUGGGUCCUUUGAUUGAAGUGAUUCGUUUCUCCACCAAGUCAAUUGAGCGGGAAAUUAAUUCAGUCAAUGACAACCCUUUGAUUGAUGUUUCAAGAAACAAGGCGCUACAUGGAGGUAACUUCCAAGGAACGCCGAUUGGAGUUUCUAUGGACAACACUCGUUUGGCCGUUGCAUCCAUUGGAAAGCUAAUGUUUGCUCAAUUUUCAGAAUUAGUCAAUGAUUUUUACAAUAACGGUUUGCCUUCUAACCUUUCUGCAAGUCGAAAUCCAAGCUUGGAUUAUGGCUUUAAAGGUGCUGAAAUUGCCAUGGCUUCUUAUUGCUCUGAGCUUCAAUAUCUUGCAAAUCCUGUCACAAGUCACGUCCAAAGCGCCGAGCAACACAACCAAGAUGUUAACUCUCUUGGUUUAAUUUCCUCAAGGAAAACAGCUGAAGCCAUCGAUAUUCUUAAACUCAUGUCUUCCACAUUCUUAGUUGCUUUAUGUCAAGCAAUUGACUUGAGGCAUUUGGAGGAAAACUUGAAGAGCGCGGUGAAAAGCACAGUUAGCCAAGUAGCAAAAAAAGUGUUGACUACCUCUUCCAAUGGCGCACUUCAUCCUUCAAGAUUUUGUGAGAAAGAUUUACUCAAAGUUGUUGAUAGGGAAUACACAUUUGCAUACAUUGAUGAUCCAUGCAGUGCCACCUACCCACUUAUGCAAAAGCUAAGGCAAAUUAUUGUUGAGCAUGCACUUAAAAACGGCGAUAACGAAACAAACGAAAACACCUCAAUCUUCCAAAAGAUUGGUGCUUUCGAAGAGGAGUUGAAGGCAAUCUUACCAAAGGAGGUUGAAAACGUAAGGUUAGCAUAUGAGAAUGGAAACUCUAAAAUUGAAAAUCAAAUCAAGGAUUGUAGAUCUUACCCAUUAUACAAAUUUGUGAGAGAGGAGUUGGGAACAAGAUUGCUAACUGGCGAAAGGGUAAUUUCUCCCGGAGAAGAGUGCGAGAAGGUAUUCACCGCUUUAAGUCAAGGAAAGAUGAUUGACUCUAUCUUCGAAUGCUUGAAAGAGUGGGAUGGAACACCAAUUCCUAUUUGUUAAUCCUUGCAUGGAUAUUCGUUGAAUUCGACCAUAGAUUGUUGAAAAAUAUGAUAGCCUUAAUUUGUAUUUGCAAUUUCUUUUUAUUUUCGUAAUUAUUUUUAAUAAUAAUUGAUACCAUUUAAUUCUUCUUUAGUACUUCAAUUUGUUCAUUAAUUUCAUUUAUACUCCAAUCUAAUUAAUUAACAUCGUUGUUGGGAGUAUUAAUUUAAUUUGUGAAUUAUGGUUCCAUUAUUUGACUCUAAUAUGCACACAUCCUUGAAUUUGGAGAGAGUUUUAGUCUCCUAAAUAAUCAAUCCUUCUCAAAGUUGUCAAUAGGAAGAAAGAAAAAGAGUAUAUAUUAAAAUGUAUCAAAGUUAUGACUUAUGUGUGAGUGAUUUAAUAGAAUACUAAAUAUAUAAAUAAAUAAUUUUAAAAUCGUUAAAAUCACUUUUGUAUAAAUUUAAUAUUUUUUUUUUAAAAAAAUUACUACUUGAACUAUCACUUUUACAAAUAUACCUUUGAUUAUAUUGCAUGUUUAUAUGUUUACAAAAAUAAUUUAUUUUUUAAAGUGAAUUUGUGUGGAUGCUAAAAUUAAUUUGAAAUAUGUUAAAAUCACUUUUAAAUAUGUUUUAAUCAUUUAUAAAAACUGAUUUUAGCUAAACCACUCCCCCACCGUGUAUUAAAUAAUAAUAAUAAAAAGAUUAGGUUCAUAUCAUUUUAGUUUUUCAUAUAAUACGGUAGGAAAUUUAUUCAAAAUUUUAGUCUCUCAUGUGGCCAACAAAUUUUAAAUUUAUUCUUUCAAAAGUUAAUUUUUAUUUAAAUAGAAUAAAAAAAUACUAAUUUUCAUUAAAAAAAAAUAUAGGAUUAUAUUUUAAAAUUUUAGAGUAAAAAUGUUAUCAUUAACAUUUUUUUAAAUAAUAAAUCCUAAAAUAAUGAAAAAGGUAACAAAACUACUAAAAAUAUUUAUAAAUAUAACAAAAACGUAACUCAUAAAAAAAAGAUAGUAACGAAAGACAACACUAAACAUUUAUGAAUAUCUAUCAUCACAAUAUUAUGAUUCAUUUUACUAUAUUUAAAAACAAUAUUCCUUAAACUAUUAUUGAAGUUAAUUGAUGAUACAUAAACCAAAAUUAAACAAACUUGGAUUAAUGUACCGCUUCUUAAGAGAUUAUAACCUUUUUGUUUUGGAAUCAAAUUGGAAGACAAUAAUCACUUGCUUGGUAAAUAUGGCUCCAACAAACUAAAUAACUUGGCAUCAAGUUGGUUUCGAACAAAAUGAUCACACUCAUUUAAUAUAAUAUCUUCAUGAACGUCAUGUAUAUUUAGGCCAUCCUUAAUCGUACUUACACUGUAAUCUGUGAUCUCAUUAAUAAUCUUAUGUCUUUCUUCGGAUUUCUUCUUCUUUUUUGAUAUAUAAAUGAAGAACAUGAAGAAAUGGACGUGUGUGUGUGUGUGUAUGAAAGGAAAUGAGUAGCAAUUAGAAGAGGUUGGGGAAAGCCAAAGAGACGUAUGGAAAAAAUGAAUAUACAUUAAACCAAUAAUCCAUUUUCGGCCUAUGCUAUAUAUAUUUCAUUUUCUUUUAAAGUUUUAAUUUGUUUCCAUUUUCCAAUAACUUCAUCUCAUUAUAUUUUUUAUUUUUUCUUCUUUGAAAAUCAUAGAAAUAAAAAAAAAAAUCAUUUGAUUUAAAUGCUAUUUUGUAAUAAUUUUUUUACGAUCAUCUAUUCAUAGUUGGAUAUGCAUGGCGUGGGAUAAUAUUUAGAUUGUUACAUUGAAUUAUUUUCAUGAAAUCAGUUUGAGGGUUAGGUUAAUAAAAAAAAUCUCCAACCAACAUAUAUCUUUAAUCAAACUAUAGUAUAACAACAAAAAUUAAAUUGGGAAUGCAAAUGAAUGGGUUAAAGUUCACCAACCCCAUCUUUCACACUCGUAUAUAUUUUUAAGUAAUGAUAUAUAUUUUAGUUUAAUAUGUAAUGGGUUGAAUUAAUUAAAGUUUGGACUUUCAACAAAUUCUUUAACUAAACGAAACAUAAUUUUCACACCAAAUAAUAUCACACAUGGAAAUAAUAUACUGACAAAUAAAUUUAUAGAUAAAAGUGAUUACCAAUAAUUUGGGGUUGGAAUAAUGACUUCUUGACCUAAUUAAAUCUUCUACUUGCAUGAAAAAAUAUAAAAAUAAUUGAUGAUUUAGAAAAUUAUUUCAAAUAAUAAAACACUUAAAAAUAAUUAUAUAUGUAAUAAAAGUUUAGAAUCUAUAUUAAUAAUAAAUAUCGAUAGAAUUUGAUAAACUUCUAUUAAAUGUCUAUUAUCGUUAGAAUGUGUAUUGUUGAUAAAGUUUAAAAUUUUGUUAUAUUUUAUAAUUAUCGAUUUAUUUUAAUGGUGUGCAUAUUUUAAUUUUUUAAAAACAAAUUAAAAAGUUGGACAGUAAUUUUGUGGGUUUGAUUGCCUUCAAUCACCCUGAUAAUAAAAGUACAUUUUAAUUAUGGGUCAAACAUAGCUCUAAUUUGUUUUAGAUUUUUGUAAAAUGAUGUUAAUAUUUAUCAAACAUUAAAUCUAUAAAAACAAUUAUAAAAGACAUUUUAAUCAAAGAAGAAUGAGUGCAAUAUAUCAAUCAAACGUACCAAAUGCCACAGAAAAAAAAAAUCUUGAGAGAAAUUUUAUUCCUCUAUUCUAUAAUUUAAAAAAACCACAUGGAGUAAAAGAAAGUGAGAGGGAGGUGGCCAGCAAACAAAAAAAUAGUACUGGCGAUCAACUUUGACCAUAUGACCAUAUGACCAUAUGUAUAUAUAUACAUAAAAUAGCACUAUGAUUAUUCUUAUCAUUACUACUUUUGACCUUUCUUUCUCCACACCAAACAAACUCCCACCUCUCUCUUUCCUCAAUCCUUCCUAAGUCCUUUACCUAACACACACCUCUUCUCUAUUUAACCACAAAGCUUCUCAUUUUCUCCUCACAAAAUCAACUCAGCAACCAUUUCAAACCCAAUUCAAAUUUAUCCUCUCUCAUUAUUCCUUACUCUCUGUGCAGUACACUCUUAAAUUAAAAUGGCCCAAAAGGUUAAUGCUAACCAAAAUGGUUCAAUGGAAAGCUUUUGCAGCAGCCAUCAGGAUCCACUCAACUGGGGUUUGGCCGCUGAUUCCAUGAAGGGAAGCCAUCUGGAUGAGGUCAAGCGGAUGGUGGAAGAGUAUCGAAGGCCUUUGGUUAAGCUUGGAGGACAAACUCUCACCAUUUCUCAGGUUGCUGCCAUUGCCACUCGUGAUAAUGAUGUCCUUGUAGAAUUGGCCGAGUCUGCAAGGGCCGGUGUCAAAGCUAGCAGCGAUUGGGUGAUGGAGAGUAUGGGUAAAGGUACUGAUAGCUAUGGUGUCACCACUGGGUUUGGUGCCACUUCCCAUAGAAGAACCAAUCAAGGUGGAGCUCUUCAAAAGGAGUUGAUUCGGUUUUUGAAUGCUGGCAUCUUUGGAAAUGGAAGUGAAUCGAAUCACACUUUGCCUCACUCCGCAACACGAGCAGCCAUGUUGGUGAGAAUCAACACUCUUCUUCAAGGGUAUUCUGGCAUUCGAUUCGAGAUUUUGGAAGCCAUUACUAAUCUCUUGAACCACAACGUCACUCCAUGUUUGCCACUUAGAGGAACAAUUACUGCUUCUGGAGAUUUGGUUCCUUUGUCUUAUAUUGCAGGGUUGCUUACCGGUCGUCACAAUUCAAAAGCUAUUGGACCUAAUGGAGAAAUCCUUGAUGCAAAGGUUGCUUUUGAACAAGCUGGUAUUGAUUCUGGGUUCUUUGAGUUGCAGCCGAAGGAAGGUCUUGCUCUUGUUAAUGGCACUGCCGUUGGUUCUGGGUUGGCUUCCAUUGUUCUCUUUGAGGCAAAUAUUUUAGCUGUUUUGUCUGAAAUUUUAUCUGCAAUAUUUGCUGAGGUGAUGCAAGGAAAGCCUGAAUUCACCGAUCAUUUGACCCAUAAGUUGAAGCACCACCCUGGUCAAAUUGAAGCAGCUGCAAUCAUGGAGCACAUUUUAGAUGGAAGCUCCUACAUGAAAACGGCAAAGAAAUUGCAUGAAAUGGAUCCUCUCCAAAAGCCCAAACAAGAUCGUUAUGCUCUUAGAACUUCUCCUCAAUGGUUGGGUCCCUUGAUUGAAGUGAUUCGUUUCUCCACCAAGUCAAUUGAGCGAGAAAUUAAUUCAGUCAAUGACAACCCUUUGAUUGAUGUUUCAAGAAACAAGGCGCUACAUGGAGGUAACUUCCAAGGAACACCGAUUGGAGUUUCUAUGGACAACACUCGUUUGGCCGUUGCAUCCAUUGGAAAGCUAAUGUUUGCUCAAUUUUCAGAAUUAGUCAAUGAUUUUUACAAUAACGGUUUGCCUUCUAACCUUUCUGCAAGUAGAAAUCCAAGUUUGGAUUAUGGCUUUAAAGGUGCUGAAAUUGCCAUGGCUUCAUACUGUUCUGAGCUUCAAUAUCUUGCAAAUCCAGUGACAAGUCACGUCCAAAGCGCCGAGCAACACAACCAAGAUGUUAACUCUCUUGGUUUAAUUUCCUCAAGGAAAACAGCUGAAGCCAUUGAUAUUCUUAAACUCAUGUCUUCCACAUUCUUAGUUGCUUUAUGUCAAGCAAUUGACUUGAGGCAUUUGGAGGAAAACUUGAAGAGCGUGGUGAAAAGCACAGUUAGCCAAGUAGCAAAAAAAGUGUUGACUACCUCUUCCAAUGGCGCACUUCAUCCUUCAAGAUUUUGUGAGAAAGAUUUACUCAAAGUUGUUGACAGGGAAUACACAUUUGCAUACAUUGACGAUCCAUGCAGUGCCACCUACCCACUUAUGCAAAAGCUAAGGCAAAUUAUUGUUGAGCAUGCACUUAAAAACAGCGAUAACGAAACAAACGAAAACACCUCAAUCUUCCAAAAGAUUGGUGCUUGCGAAGAGGAGUUGAAGGCAAUCUUACCAAAGGAGGUUGAAAAC